RNAcentral lists this ribosomal RNA (421 nucleotides) under uncultured Megasphaera sp. Its description in RNAcentral is "bacterial SSU rRNA". It matches the Rfam family "Bacterial small subunit ribosomal RNA", at positions 130 to 524 of the family's 1533-position model. The record is from RNAcentral. Lineage: Bacteria; Bacillati; Bacillota; Negativicutes; Veillonellales; Veillonellaceae.
UUUCGGGAUGGGGGACAACAGCUGGAAACGGCUGCUAAUACCGAAUACGUCUUUUCAUCGCAUGGUGAGAAGAAGAAAAGGACGGCCUCUACACAAAGCGGUCGCCGAAGGAGGGGUUUUUGCGUCUGAUUAGCUAGUUGGAGGGGUAACGGCCCAACAAGGCGACGAUCAGUAGCCCGGUCUGAGAGGAUGAACGGCCACAUUGGGACUGAGACACGGCCCAGACUCCUACGGGAGGCAGCAGUGGGAAUCUUCCGCAAUGGACGAAAGUCUGACGGAGCAACGCCGCGUGAGUGAAGACGGUCUUCGGAUUGUAAAGCUCUGUUAUACGGGACGAACGGCAAGGUGGUAAAUAGCCAUCAUGAGUGACGGUACCGUAAGAGAAAGCCACGGCUAACUACGUGCCAGCAGCCGCGGUAAU